UACGUAGGGUGCAAGCGUUGUCCGGAAUUAUUUGGCGUAAAGAGCUCGUAGGCGGUCUGUCGCGUCGGCUGUGAAAACACGGGGCUCAACCCCGAGCCUGCAGUCGAUACGGGCAGACUAGAGUGCUGUAGGGGAGACUGGAAUUCCUGGUGUAGCGGUGAAAUGCGCAGAUAUCAGGAGGAACACCGGUGGCGAAGGCGGGUCUCUGUGCAGUAACUGACGCUGAGGAGCGAAAGCGUGGGGAGAGAACAGG
RNAcentral lists this ribosomal RNA (253 nucleotides) under uncultured bacterium. RNAcentral's name for it is "partial 16S ribosomal RNA". It matches the Rfam family "Bacterial small subunit ribosomal RNA", at positions 524 to 776 of the family's 1533-position model. The record is from RNAcentral.